GCGCCCGUAGCUCAGUUGGAUAGAGCGUCAGAUUCCGGAUCUGAAGGUCGUGCGUUCGAAUCGCGCCGGGCGUACCA
This 77-nucleotide transfer RNA is filed under the name Gemmatimonadota bacterium. RNAcentral's name for it is "Gemmatimonadetes bacterium tRNA-Arg". It matches the Rfam family "tRNA". Rfam says of the family: Transfer RNA (tRNA) molecules are approximately 80 nucleotides in length. Their secondary structure includes four short double-helical elements and three loops (D, anti-codon, and T loops). Further hydrogen bonds mediate the characteristic L-shaped molecular structure. tRNAs have two regions of fundamental functional importance: the anti-codon, which is responsible for specific mRNA codon recognition, and the 3' end, to which the tRNAs corresponding amino acid is attached (by aminoacyl-tRNA synthetases). tRNAs cope with the degeneracy of the genetic code in two manners: having more than one tRNA (with a specific anti-codon) for a particular amino acid; and 'wobble' base-pairing, i.e. permitting non-standard base-pairing at the 3rd anti-codon position. The record is from RNAcentral. Lineage: Bacteria; Pseudomonadati; Gemmatimonadota.